CCACCCUGGACCAGCUGCCAUCUUCUCUCAGCUGUCAGGUCACAAUCAAUUUUCCACACAGGGGUCAAGAAGGUGGCAGAGCUAUUAGCCAAAGAGCCUGGCUGCCUGAGAUGCCGUUUGGAGGUUUGCUGCCCAAGAAUGAUGCUCCUCAAUGAGGGAUAUCUUGGCUUUAGGCCUAGAAGAUUCGGGACAUGCUCUGCUUACUGGAUUAUACUUCCUCUCCAUAAAGAUUAACAAUAACCGCCACUUCAGCUGGGCUUUUCACCUGAUCUAGAAAAAAUAAUUCCAUGCUUCAUAUGGAACCAGAGAAGAUCCCCAAUAGAAAAAGUAUUCUGAAGCCAAAAGAACAAAUUAGGAGGCAUCAAUUUACCAGACUUCAAGCUAUACUACAAGACUACAGUAAUAAUCAGCAGCACUUUCUAAGUGUCAAUCAGCCUGGCACUGUGAAGGACACAGUCAAGUAAAUAUGACCCAAAGGCUGACAUUUGAGAGGCAGAUAAUCAAGAAACAAAAUUAGCACAUAUGGAACAAUAAUGAGAAACAUAAGCACCCUAAGAUUUAUACAAUUUUAGAGUGCAUGGAAAGGCAGGAAGGACUUGAUUAGGAUGCAUGGAGACAAAGGGACUUAUCUAGACUUAUAAGGCAAGCAGACUGGGACAGGGAGCCACGUGUCAACCUUUUGUCACAGAAACGCCUCAGCCCGCACAGUAGAGACAUGUCGUGGAAUUUCAGUUGAAGACGCAACUUAUCACAAGGCCUCUUUGAGAAGAAUGACUUGCUGGCUACGAUCAAGUCUCUUUCAUCAAGGAGCAAUAUUAAACUUUUGUGUUCAAGGGUUACAGAGAAGAGAUUGAUUAACUUGGAAUGCAAUCUAAGACUUUCUCUGAGGAAGAUGUGGAACAAUCUAUUGCUUGAGUGUAAAUGGAAUCACUCCUCUUAAUUUACUAGGGCUGAUAAGGAAAACAGUCAGCUGUAUCCUGGGUGAGUUCCCAGAGUCAGGGAAAAUGGAUAAUCAUGUAAGUAAUUAAAGGGCAGACACUCAAGCUAAUCUGACCCAGUGCCUGUGAGGAGAAAACAUCCCCUGUGUUUAACUGGGGGUGGGCAAUAAAGGUUAGGGCCUGGAGAAUGAAGCAGGGACAGCCAGGUGAGCAAAUGAUCAAGGAGUAGAGUCUCCAUUGAGCAGCCUUCUGUAAAGGACAAUGUCCACGUGCCCUAGGAACCAGACCAGGGAGGCUUGGCUGCAGCUUGUGUCAACCAGCAGGUCAAAUAAUAAAGGACCAGCAUUUAAUAGGGACACUAUGUAGCAGUGAGCCUUCUCUCAAUUUAGCAGGUGGGCUCUCUAGACCAUUUUAAUUCUAUUUGAAUAAAAAUAAGGAAUUACAAAGUAUUUGCACCUUAAGACUGUAAAAUCGUUCUUAUCCAUUUCUAAGGCAUUCCAACAGUUUAGGACAAAGCCUUAAUUGCUUGCAGGUUCUACCUUGCCAAUCAUAACAUUACCUAACGCCAAAGAA
Molecule: non-coding RNA, 1511 nt
Organism: Microcebus murinus (gray mouse lemur)
Lineage: Eukaryota; Metazoa; Chordata; Mammalia; Primates; Cheirogaleidae
Source: RefSeq, a predicted model, not a curated record